UAUGGACACUAGGUAUAAAACGCCU
Molecule: non-coding RNA, 25 nt
Filed under: Cricetulus griseus (Chinese hamster)
Lineage: Eukaryota; Metazoa; Chordata; Mammalia; Rodentia; Cricetidae
Source: RNAcentral